Molecule: ribosomal RNA, 468 nt
Filed under: uncultured bacterium
Lineage: Bacteria
Description: bacterial SSU rRNA
Rfam family: Bacterial small subunit ribosomal RNA
Source: RNAcentral
GAUGAACGCUGGCGGCGUGCUUAACACAUGCAAGUCGAACGAAACACCCUAUUUGAUUUUCUUCGGAACUGAAGAUUUGGUGAUUGAGUGGCGGACGGGUGAGUAACGCGUGGGUAACCUACCUUGUACAGGGGGAUAACAGUCAGAAAUGACUGCUAAUACCGCAUAAGACCACGGCACCGCAUGGUGCAGGGGUAACAACUCCGGUGGUACAAGAUGGACCCGCGUCUGAUUAGCCAGUUGGCAGGGUAACGGCCUACCAAAGCGACGAUCAGUAGCCGACCUGAGAGGGUGACCGGCCACAUUGGGACUGAGACACGGCCCAAACUCCUACGGGAGGCAGCAGUGGGGAAUAUUGCACAAUGGGGGAAACCCUGAUGCAGCGACGCCGCGUGAGCGAAGAAGUAUUUCGGUAUGUAAAGCUCUAUCAGCAGGGAAGAAGAAUGACGGUACCUGACUAAGAAGCAC